RNAcentral lists this ribosomal RNA (511 nucleotides) under uncultured bacterium. RNAcentral's name for it is "bacterial SSU rRNA". It matches the Rfam family "Bacterial small subunit ribosomal RNA", at positions 19 to 518 of the family's 1533-position model. The record is from RNAcentral.
CUGGCUCAGAACGAACGCUGGCGGCGCGUUUAAGCAUGCAAGUCGAGCGGCAAGGGCCUUCGGGCCCCUAGAGCGGCGGACGGGUGAGUAACACGUGGACAAUCCUGCCCCCCGGCCCGGGAUAGCCCCAGGGAAACCUGGAUUAAUACCGGAUGAGACGGGACCCGCGAUGGCGGGACCCGGGAAGGCGCUGCGGCGCCGCCGGGGGAUGAGUCUGCGUCCCAUUAGCUAGACGGCGGGGUAACGGCCCACCGUGGCGACGAUGGGUAGCCGGCCUGAGAGGGUGGACGGCCACAUUGGAACUGAGACACGGUCCAGACUCCUACGGGAGGCAGCAGCUAAGAAUCUUCCGCAAUGGGCGAAAGCCUGACGGAGCGACGCCCGCGUGAACGAAGAAGGCCGUGAGGUUGUAAAGUUCUUUUCGGGAGGGGGAACAACCGUGGCAGGGAAUGGCCGCGGGAUGACGUGAAUCCCGGAAUAAGCCCCCGGCUAACUACGUGCCAGCCGCAGC